GAUGAACGCUGGCGGCGUGCCUAAUACAUGCAAGUCGAGCGAACGAACGAGAAGCUUGCUCCUAUGGUGUUAGCGGCGGACGGGUGAGUAACACGUGGAUAACCUACCUAUAAGACUGGGACAACUUCGGGAAACCAUAGCUAAUACCGGAUAAUAUCUUGAACCGCAUGGUUCAAGAGUGAAAGACGCUCUUGCUGUCACUUAUAGAUAGAUCCGCGCUGCAUUAGCUAUUUGGUAAGGUAACGGCUUACCAAGGCAACGAUGCAUAGCCGACCUGAGAGGGUGAUCGCCCACACGGGAACUGAGACACGGUCCAGACUCCUACGGGAGGCAGCAGUAGGGAAUCUUCCGCAAUGGGGGAAAGCCUGACGGAGCAACGCCGCGGGAGUGAUGAAGUUCUUCGGAUCGUAAAACUCUGUUAUUAGGGAAGAACAUAUGGGUAAGUAACUGUGCACAACGUGACGGUACCUAAUCAGAAAGCCACGGCUAACUACGUG
Molecule: ribosomal RNA, 497 nt
Filed under: uncultured bacterium
Lineage: Bacteria
Description: partial 16S ribosomal RNA
Rfam family: Bacterial small subunit ribosomal RNA
Source: RNAcentral